AUGUUAUGUAUGCCAGAUUUUGGGACUUCCAGCAUGGCUGAUGAAACUGGCAAUGACAGUCAGAUGUUCGAAGGUAAUGAGAUUGUUGACCCUGGUAAUGAGGCAGUCCAUGGUGAUGAGGCAGUCCAAGGUGGCGAGUUGGUCGAAGUUGAUGAACUAGCUCAAGGUGAUGAGUUGGCUCAAGGCGAGGACUUAACACAGGGUGACGAAUUGCUCCAAGGGAAUGAGAUGGCCAUCACUGAGGUGGCCACUCCUCCAACCACGAGGCGCCGGAGAAAGAAGUCCCUGGUGUGGGAGCACUUCACUAUCGAAGAUGCUGCUGGAGGGGCCACUCGGGCUUGCUGCAAACUUUGCAAGCAAACCUUCGCGUACAGCUCUGGUUCAAAAAUUGCUGGGACUAGCCAUCUCAAGAGGCACAUCACCUUGGGUUCCUGUCCUAAGAUAAAAGGCCAAGGGCAUAAGCUAGCAAUUACAAUUGGGACUGACAAUGAUGGUGAUGGUACUGUGGAGAGGCGGUCUAAGAGGCGUUACAGAUAUACUGGUUAUGCGAAUGCGGCUUUUGAUCAAGACCGCAGUUAUUCAUACUUGGCAAAGAUGAUCAUUUUGCAUGACUACCCGCUCCACAUUGUUCAACAACCAGCCUUCACUGCUUUUAUUGAUAGUCUGCAGCCUCGUUUCAGGGUUGUUGAUGUUGAUGCAAUGGAGGUGGAGGUUUAUGCUGUUUAUCAGAAAGAAAAAGAGAACCUUUUGCAAGCAUUCAGCGCUAUGCCUGGAAGGAUCAGCCUCACCAUUGGAUUGUGGACAACUAGUCAAACUCUUGGCUAUGUUUCAGUUUCUGGGCAGUUCAUUGACUCUGAAUGGAAAUUACAUCGAAGAAUGCUUAGCUUCAUGAUGGUGUCUUCGCCUCAUUCGGACAAUGCACUUAGUGAAGCUAUUAGCUCAAGCCUUACUGACUGGGGUAUGAAGGAGAAGCUAUUUACCAUCACGUUGGAUAAUGAUUCUUUAUCUCAUGACAUCUACAGUGCAAAUCUGAGAGAUCAGCUCUCCGGUAAGAAUAACCUCAUGCUUAAGGGUCAGCUAUUUGUUGUGAGGUGCUAUGCCCAUAUCCUGGAUGCGGCUGCACAAGAUGUCAUUGCUUUAAUCCACGGUGUCAUCUACAGCAUCCGUGAAAGCAUAAAGUUCAUAAAAGCUUCUCCUAGUCGUGAGGAAAAGUUUGCUGAGAUUGCUCUGCAGCUGGAGAUCCCCAGUACGAAGACCCUUUGUCUGGAUGUUACAACCCAGUGGAACACAACCUAUCUGAUGCUCUUGGCUGCCUUGGAUUAUAGGCAGGCUUUCAUUACACUAGAAACAGUUGAUGAUAACUACAAUGAAGCACCUUCAGCUGAGGACUGGAAAAAAAUUGAGGCUGCCUGCAAUUACUUGAGGCUGCUCUAUGACUCGGCUCAUAGCAUCAUGGCAGCAGGAAACCCAACCUCAAACAUUUUCUUCCAUGAAGCCUGGAAACUGCAGCUAGAGCUGGGAAAUGGUUCAGCACACGAAGAUCCAAUUUUCAGUAGCAUCGCCAAAGACAUGUAUGAGAGGUUUGACAAAUACUGGAAAGAUUGCAACCUUGUGUUAGCUGUUGCUGUUGUGAUGGAUCCACGUUUUAAGAUGAAGCUUGUGGAGUUCAGUUACUCAAAGAUUUACGGCGUUGAGGCUGCGAAGUAUGUUAAGGUGGUAAAUGAUUCGGUGCAUGACCUUUUCAAGGAUUAUGUCGCACAGCCGCUCCCCUUAACACCGGCCUAUGCUGAACAAGGGAAAACUGAUAAUGCUACUGCCAAUGGGAACAACACCCAAGCAACUCAGCCUUCAACUGGUGACGGCCUUCAAGACUUUGAUAUAUAUCUUUCUGAGAUUGCCACAACCCAGCCCUCAAAAUCUGAACUAGAGCAGUACCUGGACGAGUCUCUCACUCCUCGCAUCCAAGAGUUUGACAUUCUUAACUGGUGGAAGCUCAACAUGCAAAAGUAUCCGACGCUCUCAAAGAUGGCGCGGGACAUCUUGGCCAUCCCAGUGUCCAUGGUGACCGGCGGCACCUCUAUAUUUUCUGCAGGAACAGGAUGCCACGUGCUCGACGACUACAGAAGCUCGCUCCGUCCGGAAAUCGUGGAGGCGCUCGUCUGUGCGAAGGACUGGCUUCCGAAUUCGACCGCCGCACCGGAGGCGCUGGGCUCUGGGCUUCUCAAGAUGGACUAG
RNAcentral lists this ribosomal RNA (2235 nucleotides) under Triticum aestivum (bread wheat). Its description in RNAcentral is "partial small subunit ribosomal RNA". Lineage: Eukaryota; Viridiplantae; Streptophyta; Magnoliopsida; Poales; Poaceae. The record is from RNAcentral.